AUACGUAGGGUGCAAGCGUUAAUCGGAAUUACUGGGCGUAAAGCGUGCGCAGGCGGUUUUGUAAGACAGAGGUGAAAUCCCCGGGCUCAACCUGGGAAAUGCCUUUGUGACUGAAAGGCUAGAGUACGGCAGAGGGGGAUGGAAUUCCGCGAGUAGCAGGGAAAUGCGUAGAUAUGCGGAGGAACACCGAUGGCGAAGGCAAUCCCCUGGGCCUGUACUGACGCUCAUGCACGAAAGCGUGGGGAGCAAACAGGAUUAGAUACCCUGGUAGUCCACGCCCUAAACGAUGUCAACUGGUUGUUGGGUCUUCAUUGACUCAGUAACGAAGCUAACGCGUGAAGUUGACCGCCUGGGGAGUAUGGCCGCAAGGUUGAAACUCAAAUGAAUUGACGGGG
This 395-nucleotide ribosomal RNA is filed under the name uncultured bacterium. Its description in RNAcentral is "partial 16S ribosomal RNA". It matches the Rfam family "Bacterial small subunit ribosomal RNA", at positions 523 to 918 of the family's 1533-position model. The record is from RNAcentral.